GGGGAGAUCACUGUUGAUGUAACAGUAACGACUCCAGAGAAUAAGACACUGAACACCACUUUGUCCAAGGGGACACAGACACACUGGUUUGGACUGGAUCAGUGUACAUAAGGCAUCCGCAGAACAGUUGAGGAUGGCGCACUUCAGGGACACUUGGAAAACAUUACCGCUAGCGGAAUAUUGCGUUGGACACGCACAGACGUAAGACGGAGGCGUGUUGAUGCAUUGUCCCCCAUUGUGGCAAGGCUUGACAUCACAAGGGUCAUCUGAAACAUUUUUUUUACCGUUAUUACGGUCUUCAAAUCCGCAUUAUCAGAGCAAAAUCAUCGACAGUCGUUCAGAAAUAACAUCUCCAUAUCUUACGCUUCUGCCACAACACCCACCGCCUCAAAAUUGCCAGGGUCUAUCAUCAUGACAGUGCCACAAGUAGAAGAAUCAAUGCGAAGUGUCUCAA
This is a long non-coding RNA of Pomacea canaliculata, 454 nucleotides long. RefSeq lists it as uncharacterized. The transcript has 4 exons. NCBI's taxonomy places the organism in Eukaryota, Metazoa, Mollusca, Gastropoda, Architaenioglossa, Ampullariidae. The record is from RefSeq and is a predicted model, not a curated record.